CUUCAGCCUCCAAACUCCCACACAUGUUCAAAAAUGUUGUCUUCUGCUUUAUACUUGAUCAGCAGUUUGGCUCAAAAUAAAAUUCUUGAGUCACACUUUCUUUCCUUGCUGACUUUGUAGGUGGUGUUCUAUUGAGUUCUAAUGUUGGAUGCUGCCAUGAAGAAGUCAGAGGCCAGCCUGAUAUGCCCCCACUUGUAAGUGACUAGUUGCCUUUUGUCAAGUUGCCCAAAGGAUGAUGAUGAUGAUGAUUAUUAUUAUUAUUAUUUAUAACUUUGAGAUCUAAUACCCUUAUUUGGACAUACUUGGUAUUGAUCAUUAUGAAUCCAUUUUCCUGAGUCUCAUUAACUUUUCACUGUCUCCUUUUUUUUUUUUUUUUUUCAACGUUUAUUUAUUUUUGGGACAGAGAGAGACAGAGCAUGAACGGGGGAGGGGCAGAGAGAGAGGGAGACACAGAAUCGGAAACAGGCUCCAGGCUCUGAGCCAUCAGCCCAGAGCCCGAUGCGGGGCUCGAACUCACGGACCGCGAGAUCGUGACCUGGCUGAAGUCGGACGCUUAACCGACUGCGCCACCCAGGCGCCCCCACUGUCUCCUUUUUUUAAAAAACAUUUUCUUAUAUCUUAGGAUAUUUGUUUGAUGCUGGGUUGUUUUUUUUUUUUUUUAUUUUUUCUGUUAUGUGUAUAUGGUCUCUGUCAUGUUCUCUCAUCAUUUAAGCUUAAGAAAAAUCUUUCCAUUUUGUCUUUCUCACACUCCUCGUUUCUUUUUUUUUUUUUUUAAGUUUUUUCUUAAUGUUUAUUAUUUUUGAGAGUGAGAGUGUGUGUGUGAGCAGGGGAGGGGGAGAGAGAGAGAGGGAGAAAGGAGACACAGAAUCCGAAGGAGGCUCCAGGCUCCGAGCUGUCAGCACAGAGCCCGAUGCAGGGCUCGAACUCGUGAACCACGAGAUCAUGACCUGAGCCGAAGUCGGACGCUCAACCGACUGAGCCACCAAGGCACCCCUCACAUUCCUCAUUUCUAACCACUCUGUCCCUAGUGGUAUUUCAGAAGAGUCUGUUUUCUUCGGUGCUACUUUCACAUUGACUUUUAUUUCUGCGAUACCAUUUUCCUGAAUCCUGACAGCUUGUUGUAUUUCCUUCGGUUGUUUUCUUUUGUUUCUGUGAGGUCUUCUAUCUCUUUUCUGUACUCUUGUUUAGUAGAAAUAAGCCCUUGGCAUAGUGUCUGGUGUAUGGCGGGCAUUCUCUCUCUCUCUUUUUUUUUUUUUUUUUUUAUCAAGGUGACUGUUUUCAUUUUCUAGUAUUUUCUGCCAGGUUUUCAUCAAGUCAAGAUGAAUAUCUUGCACCCUUGUGAUCACGCUUUAAAUCUAAUUUUGCAGUCUGCUUGUAGACUUACUAUAUUAUAAGCACUUGUGUCCAUGUUCUUGUAAUUAUUUAAUGGCGGAACAUCAUGCCAUUGAAUCAAUGUAUCAUUAUUUAUGUGACCGUUCUGCUACUGGACAUUUUGCAGUGUCACAAUUUCCUGUUGAAAUACAUAUUCCAUAUUAUUAUUGUUUUCAUUUGCAUCUCACUUUUAUUUCCUAUUUCCUGUUGAAGGUUGCAUAUUCUUCCAUGUUUACUUACUGCUUCUGUUUCCUUGCUCGAAUUACUUGCUUGUGACCUUUGUCCAGAUGUAUCUCUUAGCAACUCAGGCAUUUUUCAUCGGUGUGUAUGAAACCCUUACAUAAGGUAGACGUUACCCACUUGCCAUUUUCCCCACUCCUGGGUGACAUUUAAAUUAUAGUUAUUUUUCUAAUAUACGGAAUUUCGGUGUUUUGUCUAUAAGUCUCUGCGUUUGUGAUUUCUUUGACUUAGCUAAUUGUUUAUACAACAAGCCCUGUGUGAGCACCCCGUCCAUAGGACAGGUACAUGGGGAGAUAGGGAGCGGGGGAGUAAUGGACACCCCAGUUCCUGAUUUCCAGGUAAGUUGGGGGUGCAGACAUGAAAACAACCAUAGCGUUGCCUCAGUAAGUGCUAGAAUAAUAAGGAUUGCAAAGGCAGCAGCCGGAAUGGCAAACCGAGCUAGCUCUCUUGCACCCAGCCCCCCGGUGGAAGAGCUUGCAUACAAUAUCUCGCUUAAACCUCACAACAACUCUGUGACUUAGACAAGGAGAGUGAUCCUCAAGAUCUUCACAGAUGAGGAGAACAAUUCUCAGAAGGUGAACAUGACUUAUUCAAGCUCUGACAUCUAGUGAGAGCCUAAGCCAGCAUUUGAAGUCAGCCUUUUAGACUGUAACCUCCAUACCAAACCCGUUCCCUGGGGCAAAGUGGUGAUGGUGGUUGACCAUGGCAGUGAUAAGUGAUGGAGUUGCACAUCGAGGAAAGCCUCCAGGAAGAGGUGAGUCAAAACUGAGAAGUGAAAGGUGAAGACAAUUUCACCAUCAGGCAAGAGGCUGUGAGGGAAUGGGCACCCCAUCGCAGCCUGCUGAAUCCAUGAAUCGUAUGGUGUAAGAAGGAGCAGAUUUCCCCCAGGCAUGGAGCUACAGCCCCCUGAGAGACUGCAAGUUGGCCGAUAGCCUCAAGGUACAGCUGGUUCUUUCCUGACCCACGUUUUAUUUGUCUGUUCAUUCCCCACAGGCUCUACGUAAGGUGCUGGGGACAGAGAGGUGAACGAGAACGAGACAUUCAAGACAUCUGCCCCAUGGAGUGUAUGUUCCAGGUGGGGGAAAUAGACAAAAAAGAAGCUGUACUGAAUAUUUGCUCUUCGCCCAAUGACCUUUAAAAUUUCUUUCUACAUUUUGAUUAUUCCGGAUAUCUUGAGUUCCUCCUUCCCAAAGCAGAAGCCUGCCUCUCUUGAAGCGAAGGUGCAGGCAUGUGACCUACUUCCCUCCAAUCGCGCUCACCGAUCGAUCUGAGAUACCAAUGGCGGGGCGCCGGC
Molecule: long non-coding RNA, 2905 nt
Filed under: Lynx pardinus (Iberian lynx)
Lineage: Eukaryota; Metazoa; Chordata; Mammalia; Carnivora; Felidae
Source: RNAcentral